Molecule: ribosomal RNA, 301 nt
Filed under: uncultured bacterium
Lineage: Bacteria
Description: partial 16S ribosomal RNA
Rfam family: Bacterial small subunit ribosomal RNA
Source: RNAcentral
CAGUAGCCGCGGUAAUACGUAGGGGGCAAGCGUUAUCCGGAUUUACUGGGUGUAAAGGGAGCGCAGACGGCUCUGCAAGUCUGAAGUGAAAGCCCGCGGCUUAACCGCGGGACUGCUCUGGAAACUGCAAGGCUUGAGUAUCGGAGGGGCAGGCGGAAUUCCUAGUGUGGCGGUGAAAUGCGUAGAUAUUAGGAAGAACACCGGUAGCGAAGGCGGCCUGCUGGACGAAAACUGACGUUGAGGCUCGAAGACGUGGGGAGCAAACAGGAUUAGAGACCCCUGUAGUCCCUGUCUCUUAUAC